AUGGGAAAUCCUAGCCUAACAGUCUCUUCUCCAGUUCCCGAGAGAAUCGGCUGGGUUCCAUGUCCCCGGGCUUCAUCUUCUGCAUCUCUGGAGGAGACAGAAAGUCAUGGUAGCUAUUCCUCUGGAAAUGUCAUAGGCCGUUUUGGAGAACGAGAUGAUCAACAGGUAUUUAUCCAGAAAGUUGUUCCCAUUACUAACGAACUGUUUGUCAGACUCUCAUCUACUGGAAAAAGAAUAUGUGAGAUCCAAGCUGUUGACUGGACUACAAUCUCCUCGUGUACGGUCAGAGAGUGUGAGGGAUCCAGUAGAAUGGGUUCUAGACCAUGGUGCUAUUUGUUCACAGGCCAUAUGAAUAGCAGCAUUCAAAUGUGGGAUCUGACCAUGGCUAUGGACAUGGUUAACAAAAGUGAAGAUAAAGAUGUAGGUGGUCCAACUGAGGAAGAGCUACUGAAAUUACUGGAUCAGUGUGAUCUGAGCAGCUCGCACUGUGCUACUCCUAACAUCAGUCCAACAACGUCUGUGGCUCAGCAUAUUCGGCUGCGGGAAUCAAAUUCUAGCCUUCAGCUUCAGCACCAUGACACUAUCCACGAAGCAGCUAUGUAUGGUUCCGUGAGGUCUUACAGGGAGAGUCCUUUGUUAGCUAGGGCCAGGAGAACUGAGAGCUUUCACAGCUAUAGGGACUUCCACACUAUGAAUUCCAACAGAAAUGUAGAGCGAACUGUCCCUGAACAUGGUAACUUGGGUCCAAUACAAGCGGAAAUGAAGCGGGCAACAGGGGAAUGUAAUCUCUCUGAGAGAAAAUCUCCUGGAGCAGAAAUAAAAAGUUUGAGAGAAGCAGAUAGUGGAUUGGAAGCUCAAAAAAUAGCUGAAGUUUUUUCAGAAUCCAAGAAAAGGUCAUCAGCAGAUGAAAAUGAAAAUAGAGUUAAGGAAGAAAGGAGGAUUUGAAGGGGGAGGAUUCCUGGGAAGAAAGAAAGUCCCCUAUCUGGCAUCAUCACCAAGUACUUCUAAUGGAGGGACUGAUUCACCUGGUACUACGUCCCUGUCUCCUACAAAGACCACUCCAUCUCUGCGACAUAAAAAAAGUGAUUCUUCAGGUCAAGAGUAUAGCUUGUGA
Molecule: RNA transcript, 1114 nt
Organism: Chrysochloris asiatica (Cape golden mole)
Lineage: Eukaryota; Metazoa; Chordata; Mammalia; Afrosoricida; Chrysochloridae
Gene name: BTB/POZ domain-containing protein KCTD3-like
Exons: 2
Source: RefSeq, a predicted model, not a curated record